This 253-nucleotide ribosomal RNA is filed under the name uncultured bacterium. RNAcentral's name for it is "partial 16S ribosomal RNA". It matches the Rfam family "Bacterial small subunit ribosomal RNA", at positions 524 to 776 of the family's 1533-position model. The record is from RNAcentral.
UACAGAGGGUGCGAGCGUUAAUCGGAAUUACUGGGCGUAAAGCGCGCGUAGGCGGCUUUGCAAGUCGGGUGUGAAAUCCCCAGGCUUAACCUGGGAACUGCAUUCGAGACUGCAUCGCUAGAAUCCGGGAGAGGUGAGUGGAAUUCCGAGUGUAGAGGUGAAAUUCGUAGAUAUUCGGAAGAACACCAGUGGCGAAGGCGGCUCACUGGACCGGUAUUGACGCUGAGGUGCGAAAGCGUGGGGAGCAAACAGG